UACUUCAAGGUUUGCUGCUCUACCUUUUCUUUUACGUUUUAUCACCUUCUUCAUACUCUUUACAAUACCCAUUAUUCAUCUUGGAAAUGACCAUUUUUUCAUACAGGUCACUGUCCAUCUGCACCCAAUAGCUCUAGGUGAAAGAUAAAACGGUGUUGUUCUAAAGAGAGGAAAUUUACCGAUUAUAUGUGACACCUUCGUUCUCUAAAAAUGGAUUCAAUGUAUAAUAUGCAUCUUGUGCUCAGAGGUCAAAUAUAUUACUGCAAUUUACCUGUAAUGAGCUCAGGUAUGUUAGCUUUGUAAUGUCCAUGCAGGUGUACUGGUGUAUAUCGAUCUGAACCAUGAAUUUAUGUUUAUGGAUGGAGGGUGAACAUGUAGUUAAUAUUUUCUAUAUGGUUUAUUAGGUUCUUAAUCAGGCUAUCUUAUUUUAAACAAAAUAUUAAAAUUAGCAAGUUGAAAGAAAAUAACCUUGAUAAAACUGCAACUGAAGAAGUACAAUUAUUGUUAUUUGUAUGAACAGCCAGCAUGUACUUUGCAAAUGUAUUAGUUUUCUAUUUGCUAUUUUCUUGCUAUUUAUUUGAAUAUAGGAUGGCAUCUGCAUGCUUUUGUCUCUGAUUCCUUGUUCUUACCAGUGCUCUUCAGCAAUACAGUUGUUGUUAUUUGUAUGAACAGCCAUCAUGUAGAGUGCAAAUGUAUUAGUUUUGUAUUUGCUAUUUUUCCUUGCUCUUUAUUUGAAUAUAGGGUGGAAUUUGGAUGCUUUUGUAUUUGAUUCCUUAUUCUUAACAGUUGCCCUUCAGUUUCAUUUCAGGUCAUGGUUGUCUUACAAUAAUGUGGAGUGCUGCAAAAAACAUGUCUUCGCUGGCUGGCACUUUGAAUUUGUCCCCAAGGUGUGGUUCUUAUGUGCUAGGCGCCCUAAAUGAUCCGUGAAGUAAGAAGCUUGUCCAGACAUAUUUGUGUCUUUCCAAAUCAGUUGAAAAUGAGUGAAAUUAUUGUCCAACCAUACAACUUCCUUUUAAAUCGGAAGCGUCUCGAACUAUAUGCUGACUGUGUGGUUGUUCUUGACGAUACAACUCCUAAUAGAAUGGUCCUCCGACGUUAGUUUAAAUCAUACUUUGGACAAACAAACUCUUUGGUCUCCACUAUUAUAUCUGCAAGCACAACCACGUUGAGGUAUCCUCGAUAUAUGAAUAAUGAUCUGGCUGGCCUGCUUGCCUCCUUGAUCCCAACUCCAAGGUGCCAUUUUCUGAUGAUAAGUUAUACACCAUUGAUCAACGCCAGGUAACUUUGGUUCCCGAGUUGUUACGUUGGACAGGCAGCAUGUUUGGAUUUAGGUCUCAUGUACUUACUUUGUAGUUGCCUUUGGUUGGUUUAAAUUUGGGACCAGUGGAUUUGUUUCAGACUUCCAACAUUUGGUUUCCUGCUUUUCUUGUGGCAGGCUUGACCUGAUUUAAGUUUCUGCAGAACCUUUUUUCCUUGUGUGCUAGAUUUUUCAGCUCAAGAAGAUCCACCCUACAACUGACUGCAAAGUUUAUAUGCAUGGUUAAUAUUGAGGAUUCUUCUGGUUUGAGCUCCUCGAGGAUCAUCAGUAACCUAGAAAGUGUGCUCUGGAUGUUGGGUCAGCUGCAUAUCAGACUUGAAGACUGAAGUAUUCGUUUUGUACCACAUGUUUGCUUUCACCUCGGGAUAUUGUUGAAUGGAGGAAGAUGAGUUCAUAGGCUUGGGAUCCAUCUUUUGAUGAAAAAGAAAGGGAAUGGUGCAUAUCAAAGUAAGUUCUUAAUCUGUGUAUGCCACUUUAUCGGUGGAAGUUCUUUCAUUGUCAAAUUAUAACUAUUAGUCCUAUGCGGUCCAUCCUACUAUAAGAGUACCCAGCAAGAUUUUCACAAAUUAUUUGCUUUUCUGCAAAUGUUCGUUCCUUUUAAAGAAAAGUACAUCCUACGGUCCUAGCUUGAAUCUUUGGUUGUAUAUGUGUCGGUGUACACCCUGCAUGUGUGUAGAUCCAACUAUUAUGUGGCCCACUUAUAUGCUAUUUCUGACAUGCUCUUACCUGAAUAUCUGAAUAAGUAAGACUGUCAACAAAUCCAUGUUCCAGAAACAAGAAUGUUUUUGCGCCUUUCAUGUACAACCAACAGAAGUAAAUAAUAAUAACACUUACGGCUUUAAGGUGAAUAAACAAUGCAACAAACAAUCAUACGGAAAGAUUUAGCCUAUCAGUAUUUUGUACAGAAACAAUUGAGGAAAUAUACGUGACUUUGCGGUACUUAUCAAUUACAGUUUCAACUUCGGUAUUUUAUCAUCAUGAUGGCUCUUUGUUAGUAAUAAAUAUUAAAAGUUAGUUAUGUUUGGUCUUUCAUCCUUACAGUGCAAUCAGAAACCUCUUAAGGUUUACAAACUGUUUUUUUAUUUGGAAUUUUCCCUUUGUGUCUUUUUUCCCUUCUUGAUACCAGGCUCCUCCUUGAAUGUUUACAGUAAUGUUUUCACUCCAACUUUGAAAGUUGGACCAGUUCAUCAUCUGUCUUGAAUAAGUUCUUGAAUUCUAAUGCAAGUAUCAUUUUAUAACUUAUGUCUUCCUGCGUUGCAUGAUCUGCUGGUUAUCCGUUGGUUAAUCCCUAUUUUCAUUUGUAUACUGAUGUCACAGUUCGCUAUUAUUUUAUAUGCUUUAUCAGAGAGGUUCGCUCUCGCAUGUGCAAGAGAUGAUUUGAAGAUUGCAGUGUAGACUUUGACAAGAACAACUAUGAGAGGCCAACACUUAGCGGUUCCAGCUUGAAACUCUAUCUGGAGAUGCAUGUUGAUUUGUAUCUAUGUAGUAUGUACCAAGUACAACCUUAUAUAUCUCCUGAGUUUUGCUUUUACCAAAAAAAUAUUAGUGUCGUUGUCAUGUAUGUAGAGCCCACCGUAGUUCUGACAUCUGCCUCCUUGCUAAAUAAGAAAUCUGAGCUACUUCUCUUUACAACUGAGUUAUCGCUAUGUAUUUUAUUAAAAAAAUUCUCCUUGGCUGCUUAACUGACGAUUAUUUG
Lolium rigidum is the source of this 3014-nucleotide long non-coding RNA. RefSeq lists it as uncharacterized. The transcript is spliced from 5 exons. NCBI's taxonomy places the organism in Eukaryota, Viridiplantae, Streptophyta, Magnoliopsida, Poales, Poaceae. The record is from RefSeq and is a predicted model, not a curated record.